ACGAACGCUGGCGGCAUGCCUAACACAUGCAAGUCGAACGAAGGCUUCGGCCUUAGUGGCGCACGGGUGCGUAACGCGUGGGAAUAUGCCUAUUGGUACGGAACAACGUUUGGAAACGAACGCUAAUACCGUAUGGUCCCUUCGGGGUAAAGAUUUAUCGCCAAUAGAUUAGCCCGCGCUAGAUUAGCUAGUUGGUGAGGUAAGAGCUCACCAAGGCGACGAUCUAUAGCUGGUCUGAGAGGACGAUCAGCCACACUGGGACUGAGACACGGCCCAGACUCCUACGGGAGGCAGCAGUUAGGAAUAUUGGACAAUGGGCGCAAGCCUGAUCCAGCCAUGCCGCGUGAGUGAUGAAGGCCUUCGGGUUGUAAAACUCUUUAGCCGAUGAAUAUAAUGACUGUAGUCGGAAAAUAAGCCCCGGCUAACUUCGU
Molecule: ribosomal RNA, 431 nt
Filed under: uncultured bacterium
Lineage: Bacteria
Description: bacterial SSU rRNA
Rfam family: Bacterial small subunit ribosomal RNA
Source: RNAcentral